GGCUAUGGGAAGUAUACAAGUUGAAUUACAAACUUUUGGCAAUGGAUCUCUUGGUUCUCCCAUCGAUGAAGAACGCAGCGAAUCGCGAAAGGUAAUGUGAAUU
This 103-nucleotide unclassified non-coding RNA is filed under the name Moniliella pollinis. RNAcentral's name for it is "sequence contains ITS1". The stretch from base 31 to 103 matches the Rfam family "5.8S ribosomal RNA", at positions 1 to 73 of the family's 154-position model. Rfam says of the family: 5.8S ribosomal RNA (5.8S rRNA) is a component of the large subunit of the eukaryotic ribosome. It is transcribed by RNA polymerase I as part of the 45S precursor that also contains 18S and 28S rRNA. Lineage: Eukaryota; Fungi; Basidiomycota; Moniliellomycetes; Moniliellales; Moniliellaceae. The record is from RNAcentral.